GUCUACAGCCAUGCCACACCGAGCAAGCCCAAUCCCGUCUGAUCUUGGAAGCUAAGCAGGGUCGGGACUGGUUAGUUCUUGGAUGGGAGACCACCUAGGAAGACCAGGUGCUGUAGGCG
RNAcentral lists this ribosomal RNA (119 nucleotides) under Pteropus alecto (black flying fox). The record is from RNAcentral. Lineage: Eukaryota; Metazoa; Chordata; Mammalia; Chiroptera; Pteropodidae.